Molecule: ribosomal RNA, 527 nt
Filed under: Kocuria sp. CMT70
Lineage: Bacteria; Bacillati; Actinomycetota; Actinomycetes; Micrococcales; Micrococcaceae
Description: bacterial SSU rRNA
Rfam family: Bacterial small subunit ribosomal RNA
Source: RNAcentral
UACGGGAGGCAGCAGUGGGGAAUAUUGCMCAAUGGGCGCAAGCCUGAUGCAGCGACGCCGCGUGAGGGAUGACGGCCUUCGGGUUGUAAACCUCUUUCAGCAGGGAAGAAGCCACAAGUGACGGUACCUGCAGAAGAAGCGCCGGCUAACUACGUGCCAGCAGCCGCGGUAAUACGUAGGGCGCAAGCGUUGUCCGGAAUUAUUGGGCGUAAAGAGCUCGUAGGCGGUUUGUCGCGUCUGCUGUGAAAGCCCGGGGCUCAACCCCGGGUCUGCAGUGGGUACGGGCAGACUAGAGUGCAGUAGGGGAGACUGGAAUUCCUGGUGUAGCGGUGAAAUGCGCAGAUAUCAGGAGGAACACCGAUGGCGAAGGCAGGUCUCUGGGCUGUUACUGACGCUGAGGAGCGAAAGCAUGGGGAGCGAACAGGAUUAGAUACCCUGGUAGUCCAUGCCGUAAACGUUGGGCACUAGGUGUGGGGGACAUUCCACGUUCUCCGCGCCGUAGCUAACGCAUUAAGUGCCCCGCUGGG